RNAcentral lists this ribosomal RNA (853 nucleotides) under uncultured bacterium. RNAcentral's name for it is "bacterial SSU rRNA". It matches the Rfam family "Bacterial small subunit ribosomal RNA", at positions 49 to 916 of the family's 1533-position model. The record is from RNAcentral.
UUAUACAUGCAAGUCGAACGAUGAAGUUCCUUCGGGAAUGGAUUAGUGGCGAACGGGUGAGGAACACGUGAGAAACCUGCCUUUCAUUCUGGGAUAACGCCGGGAAACCGGUGCUAAUACCGGAUACUCCGUCUUGGCGGCAUCGCCGAGCCGGGAAAAAAUUUUGAUGAAAGAUGGUCUCGCGGCCUAUCAGCUAGUUGGUGAGGUAAAGGCUCACUAAGGCGACGACGGGUAGCCGGCCUGAGAGGGCGACCGGCCACACUGGGACUGAGACACGGCCCAGACUCCUACGGGAGGCAGCAGUAGGGAAUAUUGGGCAAUGGGCGCAAGCCUGACCCAGCGACGCCGCGUGAGGGAUGAAGGUCUUCGGAUUGUAAACCUCUUUCAGUAGGGAAGAAGCGAAAGUGACGGUACCUAAAGAAGAAGCACCGGCUAACUAUGUGCCAGCAGCCGCGGUAAUACAUAGGGUGCAAGCGUUGUCCGGAAUUAUUGGGCGUAAAGAGCUCGUAGGUCGUUUGUCGCGUCGAUUGUGAAAAUCUGAGGCUCAACCUCAGACCUGCAGUCGAUACGGGCAAACUAGAGUGUGGUAGGGGAGACUGGAAUUCCUGGUGUAGCGGUGGAAUGCGCAGAUAUCAGGAGGAACACCAAUGGCGAAGGCAGGUCUCUGGGCCAUAACUGACACUGGGGAGCGAAAGUGCGGGGAGCGAACAGGAUUAGAUACCCUGGUAGUCCGCACCGUAAACGGUGGGCACUAGUUGUGGGAACCUUCCACGGUUUCCGCGACGCAGCUAACGCAUUAAGUGCCCCGCCUGGGGAGUACGAUCGCAAGAUUAAAACUCAAAGGAAUUGACGG